CCUACGGGAGGCAGCAGUGGGGAAUUUUGCGCAAUGGGGGAAACCCUGACGCAGCAACGCCGCGUGGAGGAUGAAGUCCCUUGGGACGUAAACUCCUUUCGAUCGGGACGAUUAUGACGGUACCGGAAGAAGAAGCCCCGGCUAACUUCGUGCCAGCAGCCGCGGUAAU
Molecule: ribosomal RNA, 169 nt
Filed under: uncultured Acidobacterium sp.
Lineage: Bacteria; Pseudomonadati; Acidobacteriota; Terriglobia; Terriglobales; Acidobacteriaceae
Description: partial 16S ribosomal RNA
Rfam family: Bacterial small subunit ribosomal RNA
Source: RNAcentral